This 723-nucleotide unclassified non-coding RNA is filed under the name Leishmania donovani. Its description in RNAcentral is "gene:unknown". The record is from RNAcentral. Lineage: Eukaryota; Euglenozoa; Kinetoplastea; Trypanosomatida; Trypanosomatidae.
UCCUCUGCCUUUGAUUGUGGACGUGGGAAAGUACCGCUUCGCUGAAAGGAUUGUGCGCAGCCGAUGCAUCUGUUGCCCUCCCAUCUGCCCAUCCUCCUCUCCUGUGCCAUUGGAUUCGUGUGAUUGUUGCUUACCGAGGCACGCCACACACAGACGCAGCGGCAUACACACAGUCACACGAGAAGUCCGCCAGGCAAAUCGAUUAUACACCUCCGCCCUUUGACCGCUCUGCUAACGGAAUCUCUGACGGUUGCUGUGCUGUGCCCACAAUCGUUUGCGUUGCCUAGUGCUGUACCACUCAUCGUCGUCACCAUUGCUGCAGUUCUGGUAGAGCGCACAUCCUCACACGUCGUCUCAUCCGGCCACGUGCCUCCGCCCCAGAACGCUUCGUUAUCUAAGCCCCUCCCCUCCUCUUCCCAGAGAAAGACACACACAGAGAAGCAAACGCGAACCCCUCGUGUGAGUGCGCGCACGUGUGUGACUGUCUCUCGUACUCUCUCUCCCCAGUUGCAUGUGCUCCAAGCCUCUCUCGUGCUUGUGAGAUUUCGCAUGCACGCCAGCUCCCAGAGAGACGCACACAUACACACGCAUACACACGCACUUUACCCUUUUCAUAUUUCGUCCGUCCCCCCUGUAUCCCUUGCUUCUCUUCGUUGCUCUUGCCUCUCUCCCCCUUCUCUGCAACUCCUUCCCUGUACCGGCCCCACUCUACUCUAAACGCAG